CUAAGUGAGCUACUUUAAAGCAGCUAUUAGAGCUAACCCGUCUCUGUCGCAAAAGAGUGGGGUGACUUUAAAGUAGAGGUGAUAGACCUACCGAACUUAGAGAUAGCUGGUUUUUUAAGAAAAGAAUUUUAGUUCAGCCCCAAGCCUUUCGUUAAGCAAAAAACCUUCUUAGGCCUGGGAGUCAUUCAUAUAGGGCACAGCCUAUUUGAAACAGGAUACAACCUAGAAUAUAGGGUAAAACAAUGUGAUUUUUCUAUAAGUGGGCUUGAAAGCAGCCACCUUUCAAAAAGCGUUGUAGCUUAUUGAUACUGAUUAUUUAAUAACCUCAAAAAUGUUUAACCCACACACACUAUUAAACUAUCCCAUAAAUUUAUGGGAGCUAUCAUGCUAGAACAAGUAACAAGAAAAAGAUUUUUCUCCAAAAUACAAGCUUUAGCCGCUACAGACAAACUACCGGCAAUUAACGCCUUUUAACUAAUUUAGUAACUCUAACAAGAAAACCCUAUAAACCCCCAGCGUCAACCU
This 525-nucleotide ribosomal RNA is filed under the name Boophis quasiboehmei. RNAcentral's name for it is "partial 16S ribosomal RNA". The stretch from base 1 to 391 matches the Rfam family "Bacterial large subunit ribosomal RNA", at positions 721 to 1300 of the family's 2925-position model. Lineage: Eukaryota; Metazoa; Chordata; Amphibia; Anura; Mantellidae. The record is from RNAcentral.